AUCCAUCUAAACUUUUACUUCAUUGGAGGGUCCUUCCUGACCCAUGCAACUCAACAAAAAACUCUCACAGUUUUUAUAUGCUUUGUUGGGGAUUAACCCAUCUUGCAUUGCAUUGCUAGCUUAGUAUGUCUAGCAUGGGCAUGCCUGCUGAAGUUUGGAACUUCCCAUCAAGGAAACAGGAAAAUGCCAUUGGCAAUGAGCUGAAGACUGAUUUACUCUACCAGGAGCAGCAGGACAUCUGGGGAUGAGAAGAUGGAGAGAUCAUCCUUAUAUAAUGUUGCAGUCUGGAAGCAUCACUCUCAAAAAGAAGUAACUGGAUAUUUAUGAAGACAGCCUCCAAGACCUUUCAUAUUCCCCCACAUUUGUGUGUAUCCCUGACACAUAAUACUUCAAUUCCCUCAGCCUUAAAAUCAGGUUUUGAUAGACUAGAAAAAUGACAAGACUCCAAGUCCUUGAAGAGGAGGAAAAGUGUGAAGAAAACAAAAAAGGGAGAUUUAUGUCUGCUUCACCAUUUUGCCCAAGACUUGACCUGUCAUACACUGAAGCUCAGAGAGGAAGAAAGGACCGUGUGAGAGAAGAAGGGAACAGCCUUUCAUCCAUAGGAGAAGUUCGUCUAUGACAAAGCCACUAGCUCCAUGUGGCCGCUGAGCACUCAAAAUGUGGCCAGUCUGAAUUGAGAUAUGUUGUUAGUAUAAAGUCCACAUCGGCUUUUUGAGCACUUUGUAUGAGAAAAAAGAAUACCAAAUAUCUCCUUAAUAAUUGUUACAUUGAUUAUAUGUUGAACUGAUAACAUUAUGGAUAUAUUGGAUUAAAUAAAAUAAAUUAUUAAAAUCAAAUAAAAAAUAAAAUCAAUUUCACCUGUUU
Molecule: long non-coding RNA, 864 nt
Filed under: Homo sapiens (human)
Lineage: Eukaryota; Metazoa; Chordata; Mammalia; Primates; Hominidae
Description: HSALNT0280355
Source: RNAcentral